RNAcentral lists this ribosomal RNA (253 nucleotides) under uncultured bacterium. Its description in RNAcentral is "partial 16S ribosomal RNA". It matches the Rfam family "Bacterial small subunit ribosomal RNA", at positions 524 to 776 of the family's 1533-position model. The record is from RNAcentral.
UACAGAGGUCUCAAGCGUUGUUCGGAUUCAUUGGGCGUAAAGGGUGCGUAGGCGGCGCGGUAAGUCGGGUGUGAAAUCUUGGAGCUUAACUCCGAAACUGCAUUCGAUACUGCCGUGCUUGAGGACUGGAGAGGAGACUGGAAUUUACGGUGUAGCGGUGAAAUGCGUAGAUAUCAGGAGGAACACCGAUGGCGAAGGCAGGUCUCUGGGCUGACACUGACGCUCAUGCACGAAAGCGUGGGGAGCAAACAGG